ACUCAAAUGAAUUGACGGGGACCCGCACAAGCGGUGGAGCAUGUUCUUUAAUUCGAUGAUACGCGAGAAACCUUACCAGCUCUUGACAUGUACAUUUUGCUUUCUGGAAACAGAUUGCUUCGGUUCGGCCGGGUGUACACAGGUGUUGCAUGGCCGUCGUCAGCUCGUGUCGUGAGAUGUUGGGUUAAGUCCCGCAACGAGCGCAACCCCUAUUGUUAGUUGCUACCAUUUAGUUGAGCACUCUAACGAGACUGCCGAUGAUAAAUCGGAGGAAGGUGGGGAUGACGUCAGGUCAUCAUGGCCCUUACGGGCUGGGCUAGAAACGUGCUACAAUGGCGACUACAAAGGGCUGCGAGGCAGUGAUGCCAAGCCAAUCCCAAAAAGUCGUCUCAGUUCAGAUUGCAGGCUGCAAUUCGCCUGCAUGAAGUUGGAAUCGCUAGUAAUCGUGGAUCAGCAUUGCCACGGUGAAUACGUUCCCGGGUCUUGUACACACCGCCCGU
RNAcentral lists this ribosomal RNA (500 nucleotides) under uncultured bacterium. Its description in RNAcentral is "partial 16S ribosomal RNA". It matches the Rfam family "Bacterial small subunit ribosomal RNA", at positions 899 to 1397 of the family's 1533-position model. The record is from RNAcentral.